UACGUAGGGAGCAAGCGUUGUCCGGAUUUAUUGGGCGUAAAGAGCGUGUAGGCGGCCAGGUAGGUCCGGUGUGAAAACUCGAGGCUUAACCUCGAGAUGUCAUCGGAAACCAUCUGGCUAGAGUCCGGAAGAGGAAAGUGGAAUUCCUGGUGUAGCGGUGAAAUGCGCAGAUAUCAGGAAGAACACCAAUGGCGAAAGCAGCUUUCUGGGACGGUACUGACGCUGAGACGCGAAAGCGUGGGGAGCGAACAGG
Molecule: ribosomal RNA, 253 nt
Filed under: uncultured bacterium
Lineage: Bacteria
Description: partial 16S ribosomal RNA
Rfam family: Bacterial small subunit ribosomal RNA
Source: RNAcentral